This 497-nucleotide ribosomal RNA is filed under the name uncultured bacterium. Its description in RNAcentral is "partial 16S ribosomal RNA". It matches the Rfam family "Bacterial small subunit ribosomal RNA", at positions 28 to 507 of the family's 1533-position model. The record is from RNAcentral.
GAUGAACGCUGGCGGCGUGCCUAAUACAUGCAAGUCGAGCGAACAGACGAGGAGCUUGCUCCUCUGACGUUAGCGGCGGACGGGUGAGUAACACGUGGCUAACCUACCUAUAAGACUUGGAUAACUUCGGGAAACCGGAGCUAAUACCGGAUAACAUCUUGAACCGCAUGGUUCAACAGUGUAAGACGGUCUUGCUGUCACUUAUAGAUGGAUCCGCGCCGCAUUAGCUAGUUGGUAAGGUAACGGCUUACCAAGGCAGCGAUGCGUAGCCGACCUGAGAGGGUGAUAGGCCACACUGGAACUGAGACACGGUCACGACUCCUACGGGAGGCAGCAGUAGGGAAUCUUCCGCAAUGGGCGAAAGCCUGACGGAGCAACGCCGCGUGAGUGAAGAAGGUCUUCGGAUCGUAAAACUCUGUUAUUAGUGAAGAACAAAUGUGUAAGUAACUAUGCACGUCUUGACGGUACCUAAUCAGAAAGCCACGGCUAACUACGUG